Molecule: ribosomal RNA, 468 nt
Filed under: uncultured bacterium
Lineage: Bacteria
Description: partial 16S ribosomal RNA
Rfam family: Bacterial small subunit ribosomal RNA
Source: RNAcentral
GACGAACGCUGGCGGCGUGCUUAACACAUGCAAGUCGAACGGAAAGGCCCUGCUUUUGUGGGGUGCUCGAGUGGCGAACGGGUGAGUAACACGUGAGUAACCUGCCCUUGACUUUGGGAUAACUUCAGGAAACUGGGGCUAAUACCGGAUAGGAGCUCCUGCUGCAUGGGGGGGGUUGGAAAGUUUCGGCGGUUGGGGAUGGACUCGCGGCUUAUCAGCUUGUUGGUGGGGUAGUGGCUUACCAAGGCUUUGACGGGUAGCCGGCCUGAGAGGGUGACCGGCCACAUUGGGACUGAGAGACGGCCCAGACUCCUACGGGAGGCAGCAGUGGGGAAUAUUGCACAAUGGGCGGAAGCCUGAUGCAGCAACGCCGCGUGCGGGAUGACGGCCUUCGGGUUGUAAACCGCUUUCGCCUGUGACGAAGCGUGAGUGACGGUAAUGGGUAAAGAAGCACCGGCUAACUACGUG